Molecule: ribosomal RNA, 292 nt
Filed under: uncultured Comamonadaceae bacterium
Lineage: Bacteria; Pseudomonadati; Pseudomonadota; Betaproteobacteria; Burkholderiales; Comamonadaceae
Description: partial 16S ribosomal RNA
Rfam family: Bacterial small subunit ribosomal RNA
Source: RNAcentral
GUGUCAGCCGCCGCGGUAAUACGUAGGGUGCGAGCGUUAAUCGGAAUUACUGGGCGUAAAGCGUGCGCAGGCGGCUUUGCAAGACAGAUGUGAAAUCCCCUGGCUCAACCUUGGUACUGCAUUUGUGACUGCAAGGCUAGAGUACGGCAGAGGGGGAUGGAAUUCCGCGUGUAGCAGUGAAAUGCGUAGAUAUGCGGAGGAACACCGAUGGCGAAGGCAAUCCCCUGGGCCUGUACUGACGCUCAUGCACGAAAGCGUGGGGAGCAAACAGGAUUAGAAACCCCGGUAGUCC